GCAGACAGAGGGGUGGUGUGUGUGUGUGUGUGUGUGUGUGUGCGUGUGCGUGCGUGCGUGCGUGCGUGCGUGUGUGUGUGUGUGUGUCUGUGUGGAUGGAUGUUAGUGAGAUGCUAUCAGGUGUGGAUGGAUGGAUGGAUGUUAGUGAGAUGCUAUCAGGUGUGGAUGGAUGUUAGCGAGAUGCUAUCAGGUGUGGAUGGAUGGAUGUUAGUGAGAUGCUAUCAGGUGUGGAUGGAUGGAUGUUAGUGAGAUGCUAUCAGGUGUGGAUGGAUGGAUGGAUGUUAGUGAGAUGCUAUCAGGUGUGGAUGGAUGUUAGUGAGAUGCUAUCAGGUGUGGAUGGAUGGAUGGAUGUUAGUGAGAUGCUAUCAGGUGUGGAUGGAUGUUAGCGAGAUGCUAUCAGGUGUGGAUUGAUGGAUGUUAGCGUGAUGCUAUCAGGUGUGGAUGGAUGUUAGCGAGAUGCUAUCAGGUGUGGAUGGAUGGAUGUUAGUGAGAUGCUAUCAGGUGUGGGUGGAUGUUAGUGAGAUGCUAUCAGGUGUGGAUGGAUGGAUGUUAGUGAGAUGCUAUCAGGUGUGGAUGGAUGGAUGGAUGUUAGUGAGAUGCUAUCAGGUGUGGAUGGAUGUUAGUGAGAUGCUAUCAGGUGUGGAUGGAUGGAUGGAUGUUAGCGAGAUGCUAUCAGGUGUGGAUGGAUGGAUGGAUGUUAGCGAGAUGCUAUCAGGUGUGGAUGGAUGGAUGUUAGCGAGAUGCUAUCAGGUGUGGAUGGAUGGAUGGAUGUUAGCGAGAUGCUAUCAGGUGUGGAUGGAUGGAUGUUAGCGAGAUGCUAUCAGGUGUGGAUGGAUGGAUGUUAGCGAGAUGCUAUCAGGUGUGGAUGGAUGUUAGCGAGAUGCUAUCAGGUGUGGAUGGAUGGAUGUUAGCGAGAUGCUAUCAGGUGUGGAUGGAUGUUAGCGAGAUGCUAUCAGGUGUGGAUGGAUGGAUGUUAGCGAGAUGCUAUCAGGUGUGUGUGGAUGGAUGUUAGUGAGAUGCUAUCAGGUGUG
Molecule: long non-coding RNA, 1031 nt
Organism: Clupea harengus (Atlantic herring)
Lineage: Eukaryota; Metazoa; Chordata; Actinopteri; Clupeiformes; Clupeidae
Source: Ensembl